Phyllostomus discolor (pale spear-nosed bat) is the source of this 190-nucleotide long non-coding RNA. RefSeq lists it as uncharacterized. The transcript is spliced from 3 exons. NCBI's taxonomy places the organism in Eukaryota, Metazoa, Chordata, Mammalia, Chiroptera, Phyllostomidae. The record is from RefSeq and is a predicted model, not a curated record.
UCUGGGCAACUGAGGGACAUCCAGGAAGGCUCACAGGCCCUCAGUCUGCAUGGUCACCAAUGGGAACAUUGCUGAUUGCUGUUCAUCCCAGGAUUGACUGUGGAGAUUGCUACGUAAGUUUUCUCAAACCUCGUUUCUCAAACAUCUCCAUAUCAAUCAAUUAGUUUCUCAAACCAUUUGUUCCCAGGAA